This 639-nucleotide ribosomal RNA is filed under the name Phyllosticta philoprina. Its description in RNAcentral is "eukaryotic LSU rRNA". It matches the Rfam family "Eukaryotic large subunit ribosomal RNA", at positions 1 to 654 of the family's 3401-position model. Lineage: Eukaryota; Fungi; Ascomycota; Dothideomycetes; Botryosphaeriales; Phyllostictaceae. The record is from RNAcentral.
UUGACCUCGGAUCAGGUAGGGAUACCCGCUGAACUUAAGCAUAUCAAUAAGCGGAGGAAAAGAAACCAACAGGGAUUGCCUUAGUAACGGCGAGUGAAGCGGCAAUAGCUCAAAUUUGAAAGCUGGCGCCUUCGGCGUCCGCGUUGUAAUUUGUAGAGGAUGCUUCGGCGAGGACUCCUGCCUAAGUCCCCUGGAACGGGGCGUCACAGAGGGUGAGAAUCCCGUAUGUGGCGGGCGGUCCGAGCCAUGUGAAGCUCCUUCGACGAGUCGAGUUGUUUGGGAAUGCAGCUCUAAAUGGGAGGUAAAUUUCUUCUAAAGCUAAAUACUGGCCAGAGACCGAUAGCGCACAAGUAGAGUGAUCGAAAGAUGAAAAGCACUUUGGAAAGAGAGUUAAAAAGUACGUGAAAUUGUUGAAAGGGAAGCGCUUGCAACCAGACUCGCCCGCAGUUGCUCAGCCGGCCUCUUGGCCGGCGUACUCUUCUGCGGUCGGGCCAGCAUCGGUUUGGGCGGCUGGAUAAAGGUGGCGGGAAUGUAGCACCCUUCGGGGUGUGUUAUAGCCCGUCGCGGAAUGCGGCCAGCCUGGACCGAGGAUCUCGCUUCGGCAAGGAUGCUGGCGUAAUGGUUGUAAGCGGCCCGUCU